CCGGGGCCCCGGCCGGAGCAGGGCGCUCCGGGAGCCGUUGUCCUCACGCUGGGGGGCUAAAGACUGUCUUUUCCAAGGCCUGGUUAUCAGCCAAGCUUUAAUGACCUUUGGACUUGUUAAACCAGUAGCUCGGGGGCUUUUCCAUUGACUGCGGACCUGCCUGAGUCCGGAGAGCUGAAGAAACGGCUUCGGUGGUUCAGCUGCGGAAGCCCAGGGCCAAGGGCCGAGGUCCCCACCUGCCGGGUUGGGAGGAUUCGGCUUGCCGCGCCCCGGGCCCAGCUACAGUUCCUGGCGCCGGGGACCGGUUUUUGUGGACUCAGGUCAUGGCGGUGGUGGCGCGAGCCCGGAACGGCAGAAGGAGUCGGCUCAGACAAAAUCGCUGUCCGCAAGAAGCAAGAAGUUGGUUUUCCACCCGGGCCUAGGCCCUGAAGGAUGCCGUGGGGUUUGCAGCACCCACUGGCUUUGGCCCGGGUAUCCCCGCAGCAUUGAGGGGGAAGGAAGGCUGUGUGCCUGAGGCUCACCCAGACCUACCAGUGUGAAACCUGGCCUGCAGAAAGAAGAACAGGAGAAGGGUGCACUUGAGAGCCAUCUCACAGACCCUCCUCUCCUGGGAGCCUCCGUCCCCUCAUCUGUGAACCAGAGAAACUACUAAUGCCUCCUGUUAAAUGAAGCCCCACGCAAUGCCCAUGGGCUCACGAUAGUGUGCACACCUCCUAGGGUGGAAAUGCAGAAAUCCCAGCAGUCUAAACUAAUCGCCACUCCGCUGGAAGCUUGGUGUUCUCAGUCAAGGUGUUGUAUCUUGAACAGUAACUGGUGGUAGCAGUGUCAUGGAAGGAACUGAGAAGUUUGGGGACACAAAUCCAGAAUCAGCUGAGAAUUUGCCAAGGAGUUUGUUUCUAAACUCUACCUCUCCCAUCUCUAAAAAGACAGUUAGGAAGCCUGGGUUGGGUUACACAGAGAAGUAUUUCUGGCUAGAGGAGGACAGGUCUGCAGUUGUCAUGGGCUGGGUUUAGGGUUCCAUCUUCCAGGUGUAGGUGUGCUGAAACCCCUGGGCCAUUGGUCCAAGCCUCGCUGCUGAAGAGCUAGGCUGCUUCUUUUAAAUACAUGACCUGGCCACCUGCCUCUGGAGGCUGCAAAGAAUUGGGGUGGCUGUCUGCAGGGAAACUCAGGGAAGGUUACCACAGCUCUCAGCAGUUGCUUCUUCUGCAACAAAAAAUGUUAAGUUCAUGGAAAUUAGGACCCUUCCUUUCACCUCAUUGUUUUCCGGUUUGUUGUGAAGCGUGGCAGGCCUCUGCCCUGAGCAGUUCAGCCCCAAGGGAAACAUUCCCUGGCUCCCUAGUUCCUCUCAACAAGGAUCAUGAAGUGCUCAGAGUGUAUGUCCCUGAAGAACAAUCUCUUUCAGUCUCUCACUUGCUAUCAUGAUAGAAUCAGUCAAGUGUAAUGAAGGCCAGUUUCUGUGUUUAACUGGGAAAACCCAUUAAAAAACCAGCAAUCACUUCCCUUUUAACAAGAAAGCUUUGAUUUGUAGUUCUAGCCGCUGUGUGGCCUAGUCUGACUCCUCAGCCUUUUUAGCUUUCAAAAUUCAGGGAUCAGCAAACCUACUCCUCCCCUCAUCCCAGACAACUAUGUGAAGUGCUGGGAAGUUUCCAAGAGAGUACAGGGCAACUUUCCUGAUAAAUAACGGAGGUCGCCUGGUCACUUACAGCCAACAGCUUCUUGCAGUCACUGCCCCCACCCCCGCCCCUGGUGCCCAAAUCUAGCUUGUACGUGCUGCCUGGUGCACUGUGGGUGCUCAUCAAGUACCCACAGCUAUGGAUCUGUGAACAGGUUCAAUAUCCAUUCCUCCACAUGGGAAUUUAAGAAGAGUAUUUGGCCAGCAGAUAGUUCUCUUUAUAUGCCCUAAAGCAGAUUAGGAUGUAUGUCAUAAAUUCAAAAUAAGUGAGCUGCUUCAUAAACCCCACUGUUAAGCUUCCCCCAAAUAGAGGAAACAAAGAACACAGUUGCAGUGCUCUUCCUUUUUCCUCCACAGAGGAUCAAGCGGUGGUGGGAAGUAAGACCAUAAGACAGUUUGAGGAGGGGUAUUUGGAACCGCUGGGUAAACUCCUGGGAGGGCUGGGAUUGGAGCUCAGGGCUGUUGAGCGAGGCUAUAGGAUGAAAAAGGAUUAGGGCCGACUUUCCAAGUCCAAGAAAGGUCUUGUUUUGUUUGUGGAGGGCGGGCAGGGGAAAGGAGGGCAUGUAGGAGGGUAAGGUAUAGGGCACAGUGAAGAACAGAGGGCAGACGUGGCAGUGGAAUAGGCUGGCUCUGGAUCUGAGCCUGGGAUCUGCUGAAGCAGCUUUGUGAACUUGGACAAGUGAUGGAAUUGUUCUGAGGCUCAGUUUCUUACGUUAUGCUUGCCUGCGUUUUCCUGAAGAUUCAAUGUCUUAUUAACUGCAGGUUCCUGGGGUCUGGCAGGUUCUCGCGUGUUUCGAAGGAAGAGGCGCUUUCUGAAAGGGAUACCAGGAAGUGCAAGCACUGGAGUCCACAGACUCUUAGGGGCCUAGCUUUUUCCAAGGGGAAUUCCAUUUGAAGAGAUCCUAGUCUGUUUUUCUAGUUAAAUGGCAAAUCUACACUUCAGGUCCACGUUUUGUUUGUCUGCUUGUUUUAUGAGGAACGGAAUCCUGGGGUAGAAUAACUUAACAUCCCAGUUGGCUCAUCACUCCAUGAAGGUUUUCCAAGAACCAUCUUGGUCAUUUCAUAGAAUGCCGAAUAUGACUCCCGUGGAUGCAUGUCCCUUGUAUGUCACUGCGUGUGUGAGAUCUUGUUCUGCUCUUGUGCACACAGCCUCCCCCCCCCAUAUAGUUACUCUCCAAGGUUUACUCCUCCUUGUUUGGACAGACAGUCUAGAGCAGUGACAACCUUCCUCAUGCCGUGACCUUUUAAUACAGUUCCUCAUGCUGUGGUGACCCUCCCACCAUACAAUUGUUUUCAUGGCUACUCCAUAACUGCCAUUUUGCUACUGUGAUGAAUCGGGGGACCCCUGUGAAAGGGUCAUUCGACCCCCAAAGCGGUCUCGAUGCACAGGUUGAGGACCGCUGGUCUAGAUGAUCUCCAAAUGGAAUGAUUUUUAAAGCAAAGCAUUAAUGCUGCUCUAUCCUGGCUGUAGGAGGUCGGGGUGGCUCUUAUUGCUAGUAGGGUCUCAGCCUGGAGAACCUUCCACGGGUCAGAACCGUAAGGUUCUGGGUCUGGACACAACACUCCUUUCUGGGUGGCUCUCAAAAGCUUGGAUAAGCAUCUUCUUUGGGUCUCUGAUUCCACUUUUUUUUUUUUUUAAUGGCCAGAUCUGGUUGAUCAUUUAAGUUCCCUAAGAUAUCUAUGAUUUGACAUUCCUAAGAGAUUUUAAAUUCCUGGGGUGUCUACUUUCCAGGUGUCUUGGGUAGAUGGUCCAUGAGCUCAGGCAGACCUGUGGUGGCCUGUGGUGGUGGAUGUAGGGAGUUUGACGAGCUCCAAAGAAAGAUGACAGGCAUUAAGCUUCAUGAGGGCAGGGGCUUUUUCAUGUCCUGCUUUCCAGUGCCUUGAGUGGUGCUGGAUACAUAGUAGAUGUUCAAUAAAACAUUUGUUGAGAAUGAGCAAGUAAUCAUUUCUGAAGAACGCCAUUAAGAACAAUAUUUGUUUCUGUAUUUGCAUUUCUCAUUUUUACAAGUGGUCACCAAAGAAGUUGUAUUAAAAAAAAAUAACUCCUCCAAAUACAAAAGAGCAGAGACUUCUAGACUUCAGGUAUGAAGUUACAAAGCAGGGGAAACUCCCCUGUGGUGACAGAGGUCAGCAUUGAGGUUAUCGUUUGGAACAUUUUUGGAGGGGGUAGGAAGGAGUUUUCUGGGGGUGCUAAAAUGUUUACUAUCUUCAUCAGGAUUGUGCGUACACCCGCAGGCCAUGCACUCAGGAUUUAUGCAUGUUAUCAUAUAUAAGUUGUAGCUUAGCCUAAAGUAAUUCAAUAAACAAUUCCAAAGUGAAA
Molecule: long non-coding RNA, 3992 nt
Organism: Echinops telfairi (small Madagascar hedgehog)
Lineage: Eukaryota; Metazoa; Chordata; Mammalia; Afrosoricida; Tenrecidae
Exons: 3
Source: RefSeq, a predicted model, not a curated record